GAUGAACGCUGGCGGCGUGCCUAAUACAUGCAAGUCGAGCGAACGGACGAGAAGCUUGCUUCUCUGAUGUUAGCGGCGGACGGGUGAGUAACACGUGGAUAACCUACCUAUAAGACUGGGAUAACUUCGGGAAACCGGAGCUAAUACCGGAUGAUAUUUUGAACCGCAUGGUUCAAAAGUGAAAGACGGUCUUGCUGUCACUUAUAGAUGGAUCCGCGCUGCAUUAACUAGUUGGUAAGGUAACGGCUUACCAAGGCAACGAUGCAUAGCCGACCUGAGAGGGUGAUCGGCCACACUGGAACUGAGACACGGUCCAGACUCCUACGGGAGGCAGCAGUAGGGAAUCUUCCGCAAUGGGCGAAAGCCUGACGGAGCAACGCCGCGUGAGUGAUGAAGGUCUUCGGAUCGUAAAACUCUGUUAUUAGGGAAGAACAUAUGUGUAAGUAACUGUGCACAUCUUGACGGUACCUAAUCAGAAAGCCACGGCUAACUACGU
This 496-nucleotide ribosomal RNA is filed under the name uncultured bacterium. Its description in RNAcentral is "partial 16S ribosomal RNA". It matches the Rfam family "Bacterial small subunit ribosomal RNA", at positions 28 to 506 of the family's 1533-position model. The record is from RNAcentral.